This 510-nucleotide ribosomal RNA is filed under the name uncultured bacterium. Its description in RNAcentral is "bacterial SSU rRNA". It matches the Rfam family "Bacterial small subunit ribosomal RNA", at positions 791 to 1289 of the family's 1533-position model. The record is from RNAcentral.
UAGUCCACGCCGUAAACGAUGUCUACUUGGAGGUUGUGGCCUUGAGCCGUGGCUUUCGGAGCUAACGCGUUAAGUAGACCGCCUGGGGAGUACGGUCGCAAGAUUAAAACUCAAAUGAAUUGACGGGGGCCCGCACAAGCGGUGGAGCAUGUGGUUUAAUUCGAUGCAACGCGAAGAACCUUACCUACUCUUGACAUCCAGAGAAGCCAGCAGAGAACUUUCCAGAGAUGGAUUGGUGCCUUCGGGAACUCUGACACAGGUGCUGCAUGGCCGUCGUCAGCUCGUGUCGUGAGAUGUUGAGUUAAGUCCCGUAACGAGCGCAACCCCUAUCCCUAGUUGCUAGCAGUUCGGCUGAGAACUCUAGAGAGACUGCCGGUGUCAAGCCGGAGGAAGGUGGGGAUGACGUCAAGUCCUCAUGGCCCUUACGGUCUGGGCUUCACGCGUGCUACAAUGGCAAGUACAAAGGGUUGCGAACUCGCAAGAGGAAGCCAAUCCCAAAAAACUUGUACU